CAUGGCCCAUCAGCACUAAUACACUUCUAUUUUCAUUUUCUUUUUUAAUUCACAUUUAUUUUCUGUUUUGAUUUUAAUUGAUAUAAAAUAUUUUCUUUGUCCAUAAAAUUAUCCAAAAAUAUUUUCCAUUUUUCUUGAUGUCUUAUUUAAUUUUUAUUUUCGUAUUUAUUUAAUGUUAAUAUUUUAUUUUAAUUAUUCAUUCC
RNAcentral lists this long non-coding RNA (203 nucleotides) under Lathyrus oleraceus (garden pea). RNAcentral describes it as "Pisum sativum (pea) long non-coding RNA (PSAT_LNC019398)". The record is from RNAcentral. Lineage: Eukaryota; Viridiplantae; Streptophyta; Magnoliopsida; Fabales; Fabaceae.